AGAGUUUGAUCAUGGCUCAGAUUGAACGCUGGCGGAAUGCUUUACACAUGCAAGUCGAGCGGCAGCGCGGGGCAACCUGGCGGCGAGCGGCGAACGGGUGAGUAACACAUCGGAACGUACCCAGUGGUGGGGGAUAGCCCGGCGAAAGCCGGAUUAAUACCGCAUACGACCUGAGGGUGAAAGUGGGGGACCGCAAGGCC
RNAcentral lists this ribosomal RNA (200 nucleotides) under uncultured bacterium. Its description in RNAcentral is "partial 16S ribosomal RNA". It matches the Rfam family "Bacterial small subunit ribosomal RNA", at positions 8 to 214 of the family's 1533-position model. The record is from RNAcentral.